AUCAAUAGCCUUCCAAAAUGAUUUUCCUCCUUUCUGUAGUUGUCUUAAGGAACAGAAUGGGAGCCUGUCUUAUGUCUGCCUGCCUUUGCCAAAGUUCAGCAACAGAUUGCUCUGUUUGCAUUAGGAAAGGAAUUAUGAAAGCAGCUGGAGCAGAGACUACAAGCAAUUUAAAAUGUAGGAUUUCACUGCUGUCUGCUAAUGUACAGUGGCUACGUGGAUGGGGAAGCUAAGAAAUUAUUUAGAAAGUUCAUUUUUUCCAGGCUUUUAACAGUUGCAAGUGGUACCUAACUGAACAAGAAGUCUACAGAUUAAGCCUCGCAUCAUCCCUGUUUUUUGCUGGAAUGCUCAUUGGAAAUAUCACAUUUGGCCCUUUGUCAGAUAAACUGGGCAGGAAACCAGUGUAUAUCUCAGAGUCUGGCCACAACCUUGAAAACAUCUGGCAAAAACAGAGCUCACUGAGAAAGCUCUUGCUGUCUACAACUUCAAUUGCACCCAUCGAUUUACCAGGUCCACCCUGCUAUCAGCACUUUCCUUUUCAGCUCUAGGUACCAUCCUAAGCCUUCAGUCUCCCAUAGUCAGAAUGGCACCAGGGACUGCUCACACACUGAAGGUCCCAGGACAAAAAGCUCAGCAGAAGCACCUGGGUCUGAUGGCACACUUCUCAUCCAGCAGGGACCAGGACUUGGCCAGAUAAAAUAUCCUACAAGCAAUCCUAUUCAUGUCAGUUGUGCAAAUUUCUUGCAAUGAUACAUUUCUUGCAGAUGACUACACAAGGUUAGGUGAAGGUUUCUAAAGCAGCCAGUUUGGUGUGAAACAGCUGGCAGAAGUGUCUCAGUCAUCUGUUUUUAGGUAAGUAAUACUGCUGGUGUCAGUCACAUAAUGCCCAGGUUUCAUCUUCUAAGUCAGCUCUGGCUGAGGCCUGAGCAUCAGCACAUCUGAGUCACUUGGUUUGUUCAGCCUGGAAAACUGGAGAUUGAAGGGGAGACCUCAUUGAGGGGCACUGGAGGGGCAGGUACUGAUCUCUUCACUCUCAUGACCAGUAACAGGCCCCAGGGGACUGGCCUGAGCUGUGUCAGGCAGGAUUAGGUCAGGUUCCAGAAGGUUCUUACCCCAAAGGCUGUUCAGGCACUGCACAAGCUCCCAGGGCAGUGGUCACAGUACCAAGCCUGUCAGUAUUCAGGAAGUGUUUGGACAAGUCAGGCCCGGGGGGUCUGUCCUGGGGUGUCCUCUAGAGGGCCACAAGAUGGACUUGAUGAUCCUGCUGGGUCCUUCAACUCAGGAUAUUCUGUGAUGCUAUGUGCACUGAAUGAUUAUCUCCAGCUGGCUUGCACUGGCACUCAGAGCUUGGCUAUAAUUGCUUCCAAUUUAUUUCUACAGUCAAGCCCAGGGCAUUGAUAGACUGAUCAAACACAAAGGGUUUGAAGAAAAUAUCCCUUUUUAGGUGACAGUGUCCAAGGCCAGGUUGGAUGGGGCCCUGAGCAGCCUGAUUUAGUGAGUGGCAUCACUUCCUCUGGGAGGGAUGUGGGAACCAUGUGAUCCUGAGGGUUCCUUCCCAGCCAAGCCUUUCUGGAAUUCCAUCAUUACUUUAUGGGUCACUGAGAACAAAUGGGAUCCACCAAAUACUGAAGAAGUUGGCCUGCAUUCUAAAAAGAGAUUCCUCAAAAUACCAAUGGGACUUGAACUAAGAAAGAGAAAUGCCAAGAAAGAAGCCAACCACUUCUUCAAAAUACCUGUAUUUAUUACACCAAAACUCAAAGUCCAAGCAGUUCACAUACUUCUUUUCCUUCUAGGUCAUCCCACAUGUGACAAGACAAAAAUGUAUGUAUCCAAACAAAACCACAAAAUCAAAUACAAAUCAAAAUCAAUAAAGGUACGUCCAUACAAAACUCACAUGGUUUUUAAAUGCAACAGAAGUGGCAUACACAGAUUAACAGGUACAAAAAGACUGAUGCAUAAAAUAAAAGCUAGCAUUUUAUGUUUCUUGUGCCUGAUGAAAUGUAGAACAUCUCACUAGCAAUAACAUGGAGGGAAUACAACACAGCAGUGUUAACUCAGAUUGCAGCUCUUAUUUACAGAAUUUAGAUGGUAACAUUACAGAAUAUCCUUUCUUUCAUAAAGAAAAAGUAUUUUUUAUUUUUCAUUAAAAAUACCUUAUAAAAGCUGGA
Agelaius phoeniceus (red-winged blackbird) is the source of this 2165-nucleotide long non-coding RNA. RefSeq lists it as uncharacterized. NCBI's taxonomy places the organism in Eukaryota, Metazoa, Chordata, Aves, Passeriformes, Icteridae. The record is from RefSeq and is a predicted model, not a curated record.